This 696-nucleotide ribosomal RNA is filed under the name Acinetobacter sp. Its description in RNAcentral is "bacterial SSU rRNA". It matches the Rfam family "Bacterial small subunit ribosomal RNA", at positions 209 to 896 of the family's 1533-position model. The record is from RNAcentral. Lineage: Bacteria; Pseudomonadati; Pseudomonadota; Gammaproteobacteria; Moraxellales; Moraxellaceae.
GACCUUGCGCUAAUAGAUGAGCCUAAGUCGGAUUAGCUAGUUGGUGGGGUAAAGGCCUACCAAGGCGACGAUCUGUAGCGGGUCUGAGAGGAUGAUCCGCCACACUGGGACUGAGACACGGCCCAGACUCCUACGGGAGGCAGCAGUGGGGAAUAUUGGACAAUGGGGGGAACCCUGAUCCAGCCAUGCCGCGUGUGUGAAGAAGGCCUUUUGGUUGUAAAGCACUUUAAGCGAGGAGGAGGCUUACCUGGUUAAUACCUGGGAUAAGUGGACGUUACUCGCAGAAUAAGCACCGGCUAACUCUGUGCCAGCAGCCGCGGUAAUACAGAGGGUGCAAGCGUUAAUCGGAUUUACUGGGCGUAAAGCGCGCGUAGGUGGCUAAUUAAGUCAAAUGUGAAAUCCCCGAGCUUAACUUGGGAAUUGCAUUCGAUACUGGUUAGCUAGAGUAUGGGAGAGGAUGGUAGAAUUCCAGGUGUAGCGGUGAAAUGCGUAGAGAUCUGGAGGAAUACCGAUGGCGAAGGCAGCCAUCUGGCCUAAUACUGACACUGAGGUGCGAAAGCAUGGGGAGCAAACAGGAUUAGAUACCCUGGUAGUCCAUGCCGUAAACGAUGUCUACUAGCCGUUGGGGCCCUUGAGGCUUUAGUGGCGCAGCUAACGCGAUAAGUAGACCGCCUGGGGAGUACGGUCGCAAGACUA